ACGAACGCUGGCGGCAGGCCUAACACAUGCAAGUCGAACGCUCCAGCAAUGGAGAGUGGCAGACGGGUGAGUAACACGUGGGAACCUUCCCUAUGGUUCGGAAUAGCUCAGGGAAACUUGGGGUAAUACCGGAUAAGCCCUUCGGGGGAAAGAUUUAUCGCCAUUGGAUGGGCCCGCGUCGGAUUAGCUAGUUGGUGAGGUAACGGCUCACCAAGGCAACGAUCCGUAGCUGGUCUGAGAGGAUGAUCAGCCACACUGGGACUGAGACACGGCCCAGACUCCUACGGGAGGCAGCAGUGGGGAAUAUUGCGCAAUGGGCGAAAGCCUGACGCAGCGACGCCGCGUGUGGGAUGACGGCCUUCGGGUUGUAACCACUGUCGCGAGGGACGAAGAUCUGACGGUACCUCGAAAGGAAGACACCGGCUAACUCUGUGCCAGCCGCCGCGGUAA
Molecule: ribosomal RNA, 450 nt
Filed under: uncultured bacterium
Lineage: Bacteria
Description: bacterial SSU rRNA
Rfam family: Bacterial small subunit ribosomal RNA
Source: RNAcentral